Molecule: ribosomal RNA, 490 nt
Filed under: Fusarium graminearum
Lineage: Eukaryota; Fungi; Ascomycota; Sordariomycetes; Hypocreales; Nectriaceae
Description: eukaryotic LSU rRNA
Rfam family: 5.8S ribosomal RNA (bases 137-290)
Source: RNAcentral
CUCCCAAACCCCUGUGAACAUACCUUAUGUUGCCUCGGCGGAUCAGCCCGCGCCCCGUAAAAAGGGACGGCCCGCCGCAGGAACCCUAAACUCUGUUUUUAGUGGAACUUCUGAGUAUAAAAAACAAAUAAAUCAAAACUUUCAACAACGGAUCUCUUGGUUCUGGCAUCGAUGAAGAACGCAGCAAAAUGCGAUAAGUAAUGUGAAUUGCAGAAUUCAGUGAAUCAUCGAAUCUUUGAACGCACAUUGCGCCCGCCAGUAUUCUGGCGGGCAUGCCUAUUCGAGCGUCAUUUCAACCCUCAAGCCCAGCUUGGUGUUGGGAGCUGCAGUCCUGCUGCACUCCCCAAAUACAUUGGCGGUCACGUCGAGCUUCCAUAGCGUAGUAAUUUACACAUCGUUACUGGUAAUCGUCGCGGCCACGCCGUUAAACCCCAACUUCUGAAUGUUGACCUCGGAUCAAGUAGGAAUACCCGCUGAACUUAAGCAUAUC